GCCCAGCUAGCUCAGUUGGUAAAGCAUGAGACUCUUAAUCUCAAGAUUGUGGGUUUAAGCACCACGCUGGGCA
Non-coding RNA from Pangasianodon hypophthalmus (striped catfish), 73 nucleotides. NCBI's taxonomy places the organism in Eukaryota, Metazoa, Chordata, Actinopteri, Siluriformes, Pangasiidae. The record is from the annotation of a RefSeq genome assembly.